This 2406-nucleotide ribosomal RNA is filed under the name Triticum aestivum (bread wheat). Its description in RNAcentral is "partial small subunit ribosomal RNA". The record is from RNAcentral. Lineage: Eukaryota; Viridiplantae; Streptophyta; Magnoliopsida; Poales; Poaceae.
AUGAUGACUAGAGUCGUUACUCUUCUAGCCCUUCUUCCACUCAUAUCUCUUGAUCUUCUUCCGCUGCGCUGCUGUGCUGGUGCAGCAUCGGUAGCACACACGCUGCGCGCCGGGUCAUCCCUGUCGGUGGAAGACCACGGGCUGCCCUUCCUGGUCUCACCGGACGCCACCUUCUCCUGCGGCUUCCUCCCGGCCGGCGACAACGCCUUCUACUUCUCCGUCUGGUUCACCGCGGCCAAGAACCGGACCGCCGUCUGGACGGCCAACCCUGGCGCCCCCGUGAACGGCCGGAUUUCCCGUAUAUCCUUCGGCGCCGAGGGCAAGCUGGCCCUCGUCGACGCAGACGGGACGAGCGUGUGGGAUAGCAAGACCGGCGGCAACAAGCAGCUCACCAUCUCCCUCCUCGACACCGGCAAUCUCCUCGUCGCCGACCCGUCCACCGGCCGCGCCCCCGUGUGGCAGAGCUUCGACUGGCCGACGGACACCCUGCUCCCGUCGCAGACGCUGUCCAAGAACAAGAAGCUAGUCGCCGGCUACUACGCCCUCUACUACGACAGCGACAACGUGCUGCGGCUCUUGUACGACGGCCCGGAGAUCGCCAGCACCUACUGGCCGGACCGGGACAUAGGCGUGUUCGGGAGCGGGCGGACCAACUACAACACCUCACGCAUCGGCGUCCUCGACGACACCGGCGUGUUCCUCUCCAGCGACAAACUGCGAGUCGAGGCCUCCGACCUGGGCGCCGCCGGCGUCAAGAGACGGCUAACCAUCGAGCAGGACGGGAACGUGAGGAUGUACAGCCUGGACGCGGCCGGAGGAUGGACGGUCACGUGGGCUGCGAUGAAGCAGCCGUGCUCCGUCCACGGGCUGUGCGGCAAGAACGGCGUCUGCGAGUACCAGCCGUCCCUCCGAUGCUCGUGCGCACCGGGGCACGAGAUGGUGGACCGCCACGACUGGAGAAAGGGAUGCCAACCGAUGUUCAGCACCGCCACCAACUGCAGCGCGUCGGAACAGCAGCGAUUCGCGUUCGUCGAGGUGGCGUCCACUGAGUUCUACGGCUACGACCUCGGAUACAACAGCUCCGUCACGUUGGAAGACUGCAAGAGCAUCUGCUUGAGCAUGUGCUCCUGCGUCGCCUUCUCCUACAAGAUGAAUGGCCUGGGCCAGUGCUUACCGAAAGGGGUCCUGUUCAACGGUUACACGUCCCCCACGUCCCCAGAAAGCAUAUAUCUCAAGGUGCCUGGCGAGCUCAACGCCUCGGCGCCGCCGCCGCCGCCCGAGGGCCUCGUCUGCAAUCAUAAUGGUUCUGCCGGUGGCGCCACCAUCGUCCCGCCACCGCAAUACUGGUCCUACUUUUUCGCUAUCGCCGCCGUGCUGGGAUUUCUUGAGCUCCUCUUCAUCGCCACGGCGUGGUGGUUCCUGUCAAGGCAGAACAGCGCCAUACCAAGCUCAAUGGAGGCAGGCUAUAGGCUGGGCAUGGGGACCCAUUUCAAGAGGUUCACGUAUCGGGAGCUCAAAAAUGCCACUGGGAACUUCAACGAGGAGCUCGGCCAUGGCGGCUCCGGCGUCGUGUACCGUGGGGUGCUUGACAAGACCACCGUGGUGGCGGUGAAGAAGCUGACAAACGUGGUGCAGGCCGACGAGGAGUUCUGGGCAGAGAUGGCGGUGUUCGGUAGGAUCAACCACAUCAACCUGGUGAGGAUCUGGGGCUUCUGCUUGGAGGGCAAGCACAGGCUGUUGGUGUACGAGUAUGUGGAGAAUGAGUCACUGGACAGACACCUGUUCGGUCAGGACGACAUCGACAAGGCGCUGGCGUGGAGCGAGAGGUUCAAGAUCGCGCUUGGCGCGGCCAGGGGCCUAGCCUACCUCCACCACGAGUGCCUUGAGUGGGUCAUCCACUGCGACGUCAAGCCGGAGAACAUUCUGCUCACGCGGGACCUCGACCCAAAGAUCUCUGACUUCGGGCUGGCCAAGUUGUCCGGGAGGAACGACGUCAGCAAUGGUGUGCAGCUCUCCCACAUGAGGGGGACGGCAGGGUACAUGGCACCUGAGUGGGCGCUAGGCCUGCCGGUCGACGCCAAAGUUGAUGUGUACAGCUACGGCAUCGUGCUCUUGGAAAUGGUGAUCGGCAGCAGGAUUUCUGACCAGACGACCGCGGACGGUGGAGAACGGCUGGAGAUGCGUCAGAUCACGCAGGCGCUGAAGCAGGUGGUGGCGAGUGGAUCUAUAGUGUCGCUGGUGGAUAGAAGGCUGAAUGGGCAGUUCAACCCUCGACAGGCCAUGGAAAUGGUGAAGAUCUCCUUAUCGUGCAUGGAGGAGAGGACCAACAGACCGACCAUGAAUGACAUAUGCAAAGCUCUUACAGCGUGCGAUUAUGAGGACGAGCACCCUGCCUACUUGGCAUGA